Non-coding RNA from Filobasidium floriforme, 87 nucleotides. Lineage: Eukaryota; Fungi; Basidiomycota; Tremellomycetes; Filobasidiales; Filobasidiaceae. The record is from the annotation of a RefSeq genome assembly.
GGGGAUAUGGUUUAGUUGGUAUAACAUUCCAUUAGCACUAAUCAGCUUAUCUUGGAAAGGUCUGGCGUUCGAUUCGCCAUUUCUCCA